CCUACGGGGGUCAGCAGUCGAGAAUCAUUCACAAUGGGGGAAACCCUGAUGGUGCGACGCCGCGUGGGGGAAUGAAGGUCUUCGGAUUGUAAACCCCUGUCAUGUGGGAGCAAAUUAAAAAGAUAGUACCACAAGAGGAAGAGACGGCUAACUCUGUGCCAGCAGCCGCGGUAAUACAGAGGUCUCAAGCGUUGUUCGGAAUCACUGGGCGUAAGGCGUGCGUAGGCUGUUUCGUAAGUCGUGUGUGAAAGGCGCGGGCUCAACCCGCGGACGGCACAUGAUACUGCGAGACUAGAGUAAUGGAGGGGGAACCGGAAUUCUCGGUGUAGCAGUGAAAUGCGUAGAUAUCGAGAGGAACACUCGUGGUGAAGGCGGGUUCCUGGACAUUAACUGACGCUGAGGCACGAAGGCCAGGGGAGCGAAAGGGAUUAGAUACCCCUGUAGUC
RNAcentral lists this ribosomal RNA (446 nucleotides) under uncultured bacterium. RNAcentral's name for it is "partial 16S ribosomal RNA". It matches the Rfam family "Bacterial small subunit ribosomal RNA", at positions 338 to 795 of the family's 1533-position model. The record is from RNAcentral.